GCCCUAGUAACGGCGAGUGAAGCGGCAAAAGCUCAAAUUUGAAAUCUGGCCUCCUAUGGGGGUCCGAGUUGUAAUUUGCAGAGGGUGCUUUGGCGUUGGCAGCGGUCUAAGUUCCUUGGAACAGGACGUCACAGAGGGUGAGAAUCCCGUACGUGGUCGCUUGCCUUCGCCGUGUAAAGCUCCGUCGACGAGUCGAGUUGUUUGGGAAUGCAGCUCUAAAUGGGAGGUAAAUUUCUCCUAAAGCUAAAUACUGGCCAGAGACCGAUAGCGCACAAGUAGAGUGAUCGAAAGAUGAAAAGCACUUUGGAAAGAGAGUCAAAUAGCACGUGAAAUUGUUGAAAGGGAAGCGCUUGCAGCCAGACUUGCCCGCGGUUGUUCUCUUCCGUGGGCAGGCCAGCAUCAGUUUGGGCGAUCGGAUAAAGGCCUCUGUCACGUAUCUUUCUUCGGGAAGACCUUAUAGGGGAGGCGAAAUGCGAUCAGCCUGGACUGAGGUCCGCGCAUCUGCUAGGAUGCUGGCGUAAUGGCUGUAAGCGGCCCGUCUUGAAACACGGACCAAGGAGUCUAACAUCUAUGCGAGUGUUUGGGUGUCAAGCCCGGGCGCGUAAUGAAAGUGAACGGAGGUGGGAACCCUCUUGGGGGUGCACCAUCGACCGAUCCUGAAGUCUUCGGAUGGAUUUGAGUAAGAGCAUGGCUGUUGGGACCCGAAAGAUGGUGAACUAUGCUUGAAUAGGGUGAAGCCAGAGGAAACUCUGGUGGAGGCUCGCAGCGGUUCUGACGUGCAAAUCGAUCGUCA
RNAcentral lists this ribosomal RNA (793 nucleotides) under Pseudocyclothyriella clematidis. Its description in RNAcentral is "Pseudocoleophoma clematidis partial large subunit ribosomal RNA". It matches the Rfam family "Eukaryotic large subunit ribosomal RNA", at positions 77 to 907 of the family's 3401-position model. Lineage: Eukaryota; Fungi; Ascomycota; Dothideomycetes; Pleosporales; Teichosporaceae. The record is from RNAcentral.